RNAcentral lists this transfer RNA (75 nucleotides) under Bacillota bacterium. RNAcentral describes it as "tRNA-Gln". It matches the Rfam family "tRNA". From Rfam's summary of the family: Transfer RNA (tRNA) molecules are approximately 80 nucleotides in length. Their secondary structure includes four short double-helical elements and three loops (D, anti-codon, and T loops). Lineage: Bacteria; Bacillati; Bacillota. RNAcentral also lists the same sequence under 1 other name. The record is from RNAcentral.
UGGGGUGUAGCCAAGCGGAAAGGCACUGGGUUUUGGUCUCAGGAUGCGCAGGUUCGAAUCCUGCCGCCCCAGCCA